UACGGAGGAUCCGAGCGUUAUCCGGAUUUAUUGGGUUUAAAGGGUGCGUAGGCGGCCUUUUAAGUCAGCGGUGAAAGUCUGUGGCUCAACCAUAGAAUUGCCGUUGAAACUGGCAGUCUCGAGUUGGAGAGAAGUAUGCGGAAUGCGCGGUGUAGCGGUGAAAUGCAUAGAUAUCGCGCAGAACUCCGAUUGCGAAGGCAGCAUGCCGGCUCCACACUGACGCUGAGGCACGAAAGCGUGGGUAUCGAACAGG
Molecule: ribosomal RNA, 253 nt
Filed under: uncultured Bacteroidales bacterium
Lineage: Bacteria; Pseudomonadati; Bacteroidota; Bacteroidia; Bacteroidales
Description: partial 16S ribosomal RNA
Rfam family: Bacterial small subunit ribosomal RNA
Source: RNAcentral